UUCUUGGCAUUUUGGUAUCCGUGCUUGUUUCCCUUGGUUUUCUUGAAGGAUGUGGGGUAAGAUACAUGGAGAUUUCUUGAUGGGUUGUUGUUACUGUUAUGAAAAGGUUUAGGCCUAAGACGAUUAGGGUUAGGAUUCAAAGCUGGAGGGCCUCUGUGCCAGAGAGAGUGAAGGUAAAUGACCUCAUCUCUGAGCCUCUGUUCAUAAGGCGUCAAGGGUUUUUCAUAGGGAUUCAUGGCCAAGAAAUUUGAUUUGGG
This 257-nucleotide unclassified non-coding RNA is filed under the name Hevea brasiliensis (rubber tree). Lineage: Eukaryota; Viridiplantae; Streptophyta; Magnoliopsida; Malpighiales; Euphorbiaceae. The record is from RNAcentral.